This 1126-nucleotide ribosomal RNA is filed under the name Chryseobacterium sp. MYb333. Its description in RNAcentral is "bacterial SSU rRNA". It matches the Rfam family "Bacterial small subunit ribosomal RNA", at positions 173 to 1310 of the family's 1533-position model. Lineage: Bacteria; Pseudomonadati; Bacteroidota; Flavobacteriia; Flavobacteriales; Weeksellaceae. The record is from RNAcentral.
UAUAUUGAAUGGCAUCAUUUAAUAUUGAAAACUCCGGUGGAUAGAGAUGGGCACGCGCAAGAUUAGAUAGUUGGUGAGGUAACGGCUCACCAAGUCAAUGAUCUUUAGGGGGCCUGAGAGGGUGAUCCCCCACACUGGUACUGAGACACGGACCAGACUCCUACGGGAGGCAGCAGUGAGGAAUAUUGGACAAUGGGUGAGAGCCUGAUCCAGCCAUCCCGCGUGAAGGAUGACGGCCCUAUGGGUUGUAAACUUCUUUUGUAUAGGGAUAAACCUUUCCACGUGUGGAAAGCUGAAGGUACUAUACGAAUAAGCACCGGCUAACUCCGUGCCAGCAGCCGCGGUAAUACGGAGGGUGCAAGCGUUAUCCGGAUUUAUUGGGUUUAAAGGGUCCGUAGGCGGACUCGUAAGUCAGUGGUGAAAUCUCAUAGCUUAACUAUGAAACUGCCAUUGAUACUGCGGGUCUUGAGUAAAGUAGAAGUGGCUGGAAUAAGUAGUGUAGCGGUGAAAUGCAUAGAUAUUACUUAGAACACCAAUUGCGAAGGCAGGUCACUAUGUUUUAACUGACGCUGAUGGACGAAAGCGUGGGGAGCGAACAGGAUUUAGAUACCCUGGUAGUCCACGCCGUAAACGAUGCUAACUCGUUUUUGGGUUUUCGGAUUCAGAGACUAAGCGAAAGUGAUAAGUUAGCCACCUGGGGAGUACGUUCGCAAGAAUGAAACUCAAAGGAAUUGACGGGGGCCCGCACAAGCGGUGGAUUAUGUGGUUUAAUUCGAUGAUACGCGAGGAACCUUACCAAGGCUUAAAUGGGAAAUGACAGGUUUAGAAAUAGACUUUUCUUCGGACAUUUUUCAAGGUGCUGCAUGGUUGUCGUCAGCUCGUGCCGUGAGGUGUUAGGUUAAGUCCUGCAACGAGCGCAACCCCUGUCACUAGUUGCCAUCAUUCAGUUGGGGACUCUAGUGAGACUGCCUACGCAAGUAGAGAGGAAGGUGGGGAUGACGUCAAAUCAUCACGGCCCUUACGCCUUGGGCCACACACGUAAUACAAUGGCCAGUACAGAGGGCUGCUACCAGGCGACUGGAUGCUAAUCUCGAAAGCUGGUCUCAGUUCGGAUUGGAGUCUGCAA